This 407-nucleotide ribosomal RNA is filed under the name uncultured bacterium. Its description in RNAcentral is "partial 16S ribosomal RNA". It matches the Rfam family "Bacterial small subunit ribosomal RNA", at positions 30 to 526 of the family's 1533-position model. The record is from RNAcentral.
AUUGAACGCUGGCGGCAGGCCUAACACAUGCAAGUCGAGCGGAGCGGCGGACGGGUGAGUAAUGCCUAUGAAUCUGCCUGGUCGUGGGGGAUAACUUCCGGAAAGGGGCGCUAAUACCGCAUACUAUCAGAUGAGCCUAGGUGGGAUUAGCUAGUUGGUGGGGUAGAGGCCUACCAAGGCGACGAUCCGUACCUGGUCUGAGAGGAUGAUAAGUCACACUGGAACUGAGACACGGUCCAGACUCCGACGGGAGGCAGCAGUGGGGAAUAUUGGACAAUGGGCGAAAGCCUGAUCCAGCCAUGCCGCGUGUGUGAAGAAGGUCUUCGGAUUGUAAAGCACUUUAAGUUGGGAGGCGUUACCAACAGAAUAAGCACCGGCUAACUCCGUGCCAGCAGCCGCGGUAAUAC